This 414-nucleotide long non-coding RNA is filed under the name Olea europaea (common olive). RNAcentral's name for it is "long non-coding RNA (OEUR_LNC011866)". Lineage: Eukaryota; Viridiplantae; Streptophyta; Magnoliopsida; Lamiales; Oleaceae. The record is from RNAcentral.
UUUGACAGUUUACUAACCCACCAGUUCGAAGAAACUGUGCAUUAAGUGGCGUGAGGGAAACUGCCCGAAACCGUCAACUUUCUUCCUCUAUUUGAAUAGUCCUCAUACAACACAAAGAAUACACACGAAAAAUUUCUUGCAUACAUACAUCAUACAUCUCUUCUUCCUUGCAUCAGUCUGCAGAGAGUAUUUUCAUUUUUUCUGGUUCGUUGUCUUGCAGUCGAAGUGCUGCUUCUGCAAGUGUGAUCGUUGUAUCUUGGGAGACACUUUACCACAUACCGUAAGCACCGUGUGACGGGGUAAAAACGUCUUAAGGACAGAGAGCCUAGUUCUCGCCUCGAUCAUCCUCUUUCCGAAUUCUGGACUUCUUUCUUUUCAUAAUUUUUCGAACAUAAUAUUCUACUUUACUGUUUC